RNAcentral lists this long non-coding RNA (459 nucleotides) under Ananas comosus (pineapple). RNAcentral describes it as "long non-coding RNA (ACOM_LNC014093)". Lineage: Eukaryota; Viridiplantae; Streptophyta; Magnoliopsida; Poales; Bromeliaceae. The record is from RNAcentral.
UAGGUAUUAACUACGGGGUAAAUAGUUUAAUCAAAAUAAAUAGGCUAAAUUACAGAAAACCCUCCUAUAAUAAUCCGUUUUUUCACUUUCCCCUCCUGACAUUUAAAAACCUACACUUUGCCCUUUGUAAAAUAAAAAAUGUGCACUUCACCCCUACCGUUAGGGUUCCGUUAGGGGUUUUGUUAAAAAAUAUUUUUUUAUACCGAAAAUACCUCUCUGCCUCUUCUCUGAUGCUUCGCUCCCUCCGGCUCGCCGCUUCGCCGCCUCGCCGCCUCGCCGUCCUCCACUGCUUCGCCCUCGCCCACAUCCCCUUCGUCCUCCUCCGCCGCCUCGCCUUCGCCCUCGUUGUCCCUGCCUACCUCUCCAUCAACACCCAUCUUAGUAUCCUCCCUACUGUCGCUGAAAUCGAUGGGCGGCGACGGUGUAGGAGGAGAAGGGGAGCAGGUGGAGAAGAAAUUG